ACCAUACACACACACCACACAUGCAUGCACGCACACACACGUGUGCACAUACCACAAACACACACACUACACACAUGUGCUCACACACACAUACCACACACACACCACCCACUCCCCCCACACACGCACACACACACCACACACUGCACACACGCACACUCCACACACACACUCCUCACACACACACACACACACACACCCCAAGACAGAGCAGUCUCACCACGACCGUCACCUCCCCUGUCCCACCCUGACCUCCCGGCCUCAGCACACAGGAAGCGGGGCCUCUUCCUGGCCUCUUCCUGGCCCAGCCUCCUCCUCUCUGAAGGGAUGUUUAUGUUUAGAGUCAGGAAUGUCCUAUUUCCUCCCAUUGUGACUUGGGACGAGGGUCCACACAGGUGGACGCAGCUGCUCAGCAGCACGGUGGGGGGGGCACAAGGUCACCAGCCACGCUGGGAAACAAGGCUCCUUGCACCUCUUCAGACCUCUCAGCCUCAUGGUCACCUCUCUGCAGUCACCUGUCCCCUCCAGGCCCUCCCCACAGCCACGUGUCUCCCUUGUCCCCUCUGCUCCCCCAGAACUCAUCAGCAGGUAGCUCUUCCCGCCUGGACCAGUCCCAGCCUCAAGUCUUGACAAGGUUCCCAUCAAGGGCCACCAUUCCUAACUGCCACUGCCUCGAAAGAGUACCCCACGGGGCCAGUGUGGCCACCAGCUGUUCCCACUGGCAGGGCGUCCACCCACGGCUGGGCCACACGUUCCAAUGGGGGAAGUUGUAAAGUGGGCUUCCCAGGAGGAGAGGUGUGCCCCCUCGCUGCCCCUGGGGUGACAAGAGGCCACCAGCACGCUGUC
This 846-nucleotide long non-coding RNA is filed under the name Marmota monax (woodchuck). The record is from RNAcentral. Lineage: Eukaryota; Metazoa; Chordata; Mammalia; Rodentia; Sciuridae.